Molecule: ribosomal RNA, 468 nt
Filed under: uncultured bacterium
Lineage: Bacteria
Description: partial 16S ribosomal RNA
Rfam family: Bacterial small subunit ribosomal RNA
Source: RNAcentral
GACGAACGCUGGCGGCGUGCUUAACACAUGCAAGUCGAACGGAAAGGCCCUGCUUUUGUGGGGUGCUCGAGUGGCGAACGGGUGAGUAACACGUGAGUAACCUGCCCUUGACUUUGGGAUAACUUCAGGAAACUGGGGCUAAUACCGGAUAGGAGCUCCUGCUGCAUGGUGGGGGUUGGAAAGUUUCGGCGGUUGGGGCUGGACUCGCGGCUUAUCAGCUUGUUGGUGGGGUAGUGGCUUACCAAGGCUUUGACGGGUAGCCGGCCUGAGAGGGUGACCGGCCACAUUGGGACUGAGAUACGGCGCAGACUCCUACGGGAGGCAGCAGUGGGGAAUAUUGCACAAUGGGCGGGAGCCUGAUGCAGCAACGCCGCGUGCGGGAUGACGGCCUUCGGGUUGUAAACCGCUUUCGCCUGUGACGAAGCGUGAGUGACGGUAAUGGGUAAAGAAGCACCGGCUAACUACGUG